Long non-coding RNA from Lycium barbarum (goji berry), 1892 nucleotides. RefSeq lists it as uncharacterized. NCBI's taxonomy places the organism in Eukaryota, Viridiplantae, Streptophyta, Magnoliopsida, Solanales, Solanaceae. The record is from RefSeq and is a predicted model, not a curated record. The transcript has 9 exons.
GUGUAUUUUGUAAAAAAUUAUAAGUUUAAAAAAAUAUAAUUAUGUCCCCAUUUAACUUAAUCACAUUGUUAAGACAAGUUUGACCUUGACUGGUCAAACUUGUCAUCAUUUGUCAUUAGUAGACUUUUUUUGUCACCGUCAGUUUAUUCUUCCCACUUUCUUCCUAAUCUAAUCUAUUCUAGAACAGUGAAAUCACAAUGGCGGUAAUUCCUGCCAACAUAUCGACAUAGUUGACACAGUACUGCAUUUUCCCCUCUCUCUCAAAAUCCUCAUCUCGCCCAAUUCUCCGGUUAUGUUGUCUUCGUUCUUAUAAUUUUUUCUUGAGAUCUUGAUUUCAUUAAUUACUAUCUCUGUGCCAUCUAAGAUCUCUGUUCCAUUAGUUUAGCAGUUUCGAUGAUUCCAAUCACUCCAUAUACUCUCAAGAGAUUGGGAGGUCGACCACAUAAGAGAUUGAAAUGGACGAUUUUAUGUUGAAGUGUCUUGCUUUAUUUCUAGAAAGUUGUUUGACAUCUAUGAAUGGUACAUGUGCUUGGAGAUUCAUGUCAUUUCCCUGCUUCUUAUCGAUGUGUCCUACUUAUUAUCUUCUUUUCUUCUUUCUGACCAUGCUUUCAGAAUAGCCUGAGAAAAAAGAAAGACUUUGGAGAAAACUCGAAACUAUUGCUUAUGCAGCUAUGAGGAAUAUUCCCACCAUGAAGGCAGUUUUUGAAGAAGGCUAAAUCUCAAGAUAAUUUCUUUUUGGAAAGCUGCACUGCCUUUUCUGAAAGCUGGAUUGAAGUAUAUGUGAGUGGAAAAGUUCUAUACUAGCGGUUGCUAUUCUGGACAACCAUAGCUUUGAUUGGCAAUAAGCUAUGAGGAAUAUUCCCUCCACGCAGAUAGUUUUUGAAGCAGGCUAAAGCUCAAGAUAUUAUCUUUCGAGAAACCUGCACUGCCCUUUCCGAAAGCUAAAUUGAAGAAACAAAAAGGAUAUAUGUGACGCACGUGCUUUAAAAAGGUAGACAGGUGGAGGGUCCAGAUCCUUACGAGCUAGAUCAGCUUGCACGGGAGCAUUUCCCUACUCCGGAGGUAGAAUCGCAAGCUUGAGAGGCACACAAUUCGAUGAUAGAGUUGAAGAGAUAUAAAGGUAUAUAUGUAUGAUAACACCACGCCUAGCUGGCUGGGCAUGACACCGCUAAGGCGGGCGACUUAUGAUAACACCGUGCCUAUUUGGCCGGACAUGACACCACUGGUGGGCGGCGUGACAUGAUUACUUCAGACGCGGGCUAAUGAUGUUAUUGUUUCGGACAACUUAUUUAUGUGUGUGCGAUAUGUUAUAAAGGUAAAAGGUAGACAGGGGGACUGUCCAGAUCCUUAGGAGCCAGAUCAGCUUGCACAGGAGCACUUCCCUACUCCGGAGGUGCCAGUCAUUGAUGCAUUCUUUUGUGUAUAUAUUUGGGCAUGGCAGGGUCCUGUCCCGUCCUUAUGUCUCAGUAUUGUAGUAGAGGCUCGUAGAUAUAUAUGUGUGGGUAGUAGAUGUCUUAUGAUCACCCCAAUGUAUAUUGUUAUAUAUACACUAUUUUUCCUCCGUGAGAGCUUAUAUAUAUGUGUAUAUGUAUUGCAUUGGAGAUUAUGUAUGUUUAGGUUGGGUAUGAUAACUGGCAUAAUGGGUGGUGCUCGGUAGUCAGCUCCGGGUACCCGUCAUGGCCCCUAGUUAGGUCGUGACAGCUUGUCAGAUCGCUAUGGCAGCCUUAAGGGCGUUGUAGCGGCCCCGCUACCGUCGUGGCGGUGACGGGUCAGGUAAUUUCAUUAAGUGUGAUUUAAAUAAGCCUUAGACCCUCAUUAUUUCUCAUUUCGAAAUUAGAGCUUUGGGGAACAUUUCUUGGAGAUAUUUAUGAGACAUUCUUGGAGGUAAAUCU